Molecule: ribosomal RNA, 253 nt
Filed under: uncultured bacterium
Lineage: Bacteria
Description: partial 16S ribosomal RNA
Rfam family: Bacterial small subunit ribosomal RNA
Source: RNAcentral
UACGUAGGGCGCGAGCGUUGUCCGGAAUCAUUGGGCGUAAAGAGCGUGUAGGCGGCCAAACAGGUCCGUUGUGAAAACUGGAGGCUCAACCUCCAGACGUCGACGGAAACCGUGUGGCUAGAGUCCGGAAGAGGAGAGUGGAAUUCCUGGUGUAGCGGUGAAAUGCGCAGAUAUCAGGAAGAACACCAAUGGCGAAGGCAGCUCUCUGGGACGGUACUGACGCUGAGACGCGAAAGCGUGGGGAGCGAACAGG